CACUCAAAGAAAUGAAACUCAGGUGCUGUUUGCAUUAAAUAGUUAUUUCAACUGAAAUUAUUGAAUAAUUCUGUGUUUUGGAUUCAAAUGAAGAAUGUCAAAUAGCAUGUACUUAACUUUAUAGUUUGUUGUAAUUAACAAACAAUAAUGAGCAUAAUUUAUGUAAGCAAGUUAAUUAAGAUGUACAUCAGGCCUAGAGGGGCGGUUCCCACAGGUACUUGCACAUGCUCAGUAAGAAGAAGGCUGAAGGCGCCACUUUCUGGACUUGUACUCUGCUGUCCUGCCACAUGUCUCGGAUUUCUUCAUAAUCAACGACCAUCCGUUAAUAUUCAGGAAGGAACUUCAAAACUGCACAGCUGUAAAAUUAAGAUUUAAGACGGAUGCCAGACCAGCAACCUAACAUUAGUGGUUAUGAAUGUGGAGAUGCAAGCAAUGUGCUGAAACUCUAUCUACAAGGUACCAAUUACUGAAGCAUUACAAAUUAAAACAUGGGCAUUUUGGUCAAAGACACACAUUUCCAUGCACAUACUAUGACUGCCCUUGUUCAUUCAAAACAUGGAAUGCUCUGAAAACUCAUUUAAGCAGAUGUCAUGUUGAAGAAAUACUUGGAACGAGUGCAGAGCUUGUAACAUUUACAUGUAUUUUGUGUCCAGGAAGUGUCUUUUCAUCGAGUAGAGAGUACUUUUCACACACCAACAACCAUUUAAAAAAAUAUGAGACUGUCCCUUGCAUGUUUCAGAAUUGUUCUUUUCAGACUAAUAUAUAUGCUACCUUUAAAUCUCAUAAAAACAGGAAACAUGGCACUUGGACAGUAAAAGACCUGAAAGAGGAAAUAGUGAAAAUUUGUGAUAUAAGUGAGGACCGCACAUCUGAAGAACAUUGCAGCGAUCUUGCAGGAACUGCCUCUGUUUUAUCAUCUCCCCAUUUAAUUAAUUCUGACACUGAAAAUGAGAACCUGCAAAACAUCAUAAUUGAGAAAUUUGCAUCUGUUCUUUUGAAAUUGGAGAUUUACUCACAUGUACCAAGCUUAGCAGUUGAUGAGUUUCUUGAAGAACUGCAUUUUAUUUUAACCUCUGCUGUAUUGCCUAUAUCAAAAAGUACAGCUAUUGAUAUUUUCAAAAAGCAUGACCUUAAUGUUGAUCAGUCAGUAAUUGAUGAGCUGAGCAUUGCUAUUUCUGCUCACAAUCCCUUGUUAAAAGCAAUAGCUAAGAAUGGUCAUCUAGCUUCAGCUUUUAAACGUAAACAAUUUUAUAAGGAGCAUUUUAAGGUUGUAGAACCUGUUGAGUAUUUACUUGAAGGAAGGCCUAACAACAAAACGUUCCAAUAUGUUCCCUUAAUCAAGUCCCUACAACAACUGCUCAGUCGAAAUGAUGUGAUCGAUAAAGUUGUUGAUAGUCUUACUGUCUCUUCUGUGACUCAACAGCAGUAUUUGUCUUUCAAAGAUGGUGAACACUACAAGAACAAUCAGUUUUUUUCAGGUGAACAACUAAGACUCUCAGUAUGCCUGUAUAUAGAUGACUUUGAAGUUUGUAAUCCAUUGGGAACAUCGAGGAAGAAGCACAAACUGUGUGUUGUUUAUUGGACUUUAGGUAAUUUGCCACCUGGUUCAAGUUCAGCCUUGUCCUCAAUUUAUCUUUCAUUAUUGUGCAAAAGUGAUUAUGUUAAAUCAUUUGGGUACAAAAAAAUAUUUGAGCCCCUUUUGUGUGAUAUAAGGAUCUUGGAACAGCAAGGGUUGUUUAUUCCACAGCUUGGGUCAUUUAUAAAGGGUACAGUACAAUGUGUAAUUGCUGAUAACCUUGCUGCUCAUGGGCUUGCUGGGUUUCUAGAGAGUUUUUCCAGCAAGUAUUUUUGCCGAUUUUGUACAGCGCAGAUUGAUGACAUUCAGUCACAGGAGGUGAAAUCAGGAGCUUUCCACCUCAGAAGUAAAGAAAGACAUCAGCUUCAUGUCAGAAAAGCUGAGGAAGAGCAGGUUCACUGUUUUGGUGUUAAAAGAGCUUGUGUGUUGACAGACAGUCUAUCGCACUUUGAUGUCCUUAAUGGUUAUCCCCCAGACAUCGCACAUGAUCUUUUUGAGGGCAUAGUUCCAGUUGAACUAGCGCACUGCAUUACUGCACUGCUGUCAAAAAAGUACUUUUCUCUUGACCAAUUCAAUAAUCUAAUACGUUUGUUUCCAUACAAGUGGGGGGACAAGACAAACCGCCCACAUUUGUUAACACAAACCUACAGAAAUAAAAAAACAAUAGGGGGAAAUGCCCACGAGAACUGGUGUCUUCUCAGAUUGCUUCCUUUGAUGGUUGGGAAUCUUGUCCCCCCAGAUGAACCUGUGUGGCAGGUCAUUUUGGAUUUAAAGGAUAUUGUGGAAGUAGUUGUCGCCCCCAUUCAUUAUGCAGAAACAAUUGCAUAUUUGGAGUGCAAAAUUUCAGAGCACAGAAAAAAAUACCAGGAAGCCUUUCCUGAUCAAAGAUUGUUGCCAAAACAUCAUUUUCUAGAACAUUAUCCAGAGAUGAUUAAAUGUUUUGGUCCUCUUGUAGCAUUAUGGACGAUGCGAUUUGAAGCCAAACAUAGCUUUUUUAAGCAGAUUGUUAGGCACACGAAGAACUUCAGAAAUAUUACAUUGUCCUUGGCAAAAAAACACCAACUGAUUGUGGGCUAUCAUAUGGCCAGACCUGAAAGUGAACAAUAUUCCCCAGAAGUAACACAAGUCUCAAAGGUCCCAAUUGAAGUUCUCAAUGAAGACAUUGCAAACGUUCUCACUCAGAAAUACCCUGGGAUCACAGUUGUAAACUUAGUCCAUAGUGCAACCUUCAUUGGCUUUAACUACAAAAAGGGCAUGAUAGUUGUGCAUGGGUCUUGUGGUGGUUUGCCAGAAUUUGCAGAAAUAAUUCAGCCAUGCAUUUUACAAGAUGGUGUCAGUUUCAUCAUCAGGAAAUUUUGCUCAUGGUAUAGGGAGCACUACAGAGCCUAUGAGUUGCAUCCAACAAGAGAGCUGGUGAUUCUGGAUGUGAAGGAGCUUGCUGACCCAUACCCUUUGGCUGACUAUAAUGUUGGAUCCAUACGAAUGGUGACAUUAAAGAGAUUUGUACAUGUGACGGGUAACUUCUUUAAUAUGAUAAAAUAAUUACUGUCCAAUAUGUUAAAUAAGAAAUGACUGUCACUCAUGAGUACUUAAAAGGCUGGAAUCUGGCCUUUUAAUUUCUAACAAUUGUCUGCUUUUCUUUUCAGAUUAAAUACAAGAUGGCUGCAACUAUAAGAGUUGUACUUGGAGUAAAUGAUGCAUCCAAACUGGCUCUUCCAACUGGAAUACCAGGUUCAGUGGCAGACCUUAAAGAAGAGAUUAAAAGACAUUUUGGCUUGUCAGGAAACUUUAGACUUCAGUACAGAGACACUGAAUUUGACAAUGAGUUUGUGAACUUGUCAUGUACUUCAGACAUCAAAGACAAGAGCACAGUGAAGAUAAUUUACUUAACAAAUGAUACAAAUGCGUCUCUACCUCACCAUGAGCCCACUGCUUCACCUCAAGGAGUUGAUAAUACGUCUUUAUCAUCUUUUUCAUCAACAUCAGACACUGACAUACUAUCCUCCCCUGGAUCUGCAUCUUCAGGGUCCUCCCUCAGAUCACAGCCAUGGCCUCAUACCUUCCCACUACCUCAGUUCAAUUAUGAGGUCGACGUUCAGCUGGAGAAGGCCAACCUGGCCUUUCACAGCAGUGGAACACUGCUGUGUCCAAGUACCAAACUUAAGUCUGCUAUCCUUGAAAGUUUGGCAUCAGAAAUUAUCAAAUACAAAAUGUAUCCUUCAAGUGCAGACCUUGAUGAUGUGAGUCAAGCUUUGAUAACAAAACAUCCUUGUUUAAAGGAGCAAGGAUCCGUUUCUGGGUACUAUGGUUGGAAAAUCAGUUUAAAAUACAAAAUGGCCAACUACCGCACCAGACUGAGGGGCAUUGGCUGCCCAGAGUUGAGCAUAAAUGCUAUGAAAGAAAAGGAUGGUUCCCUGAACCACAGCCCAAACCAGGUGAAAAAGCCUCGGAAAGCCGAAGUCAACUACUGUCCUGGUUAUCCUGCAGGCGAAUCUAAAGAGAGUCUUGAGGCUGAAAGACAAGCACUUCUAGUGGAGGUGAAAAAGAAGAACCAAGAGCAGAUUAAAAACAAAAUGGAAAGAACAUUUGCCUAUAGAAGGCAGGAAAUUAUCCAGGAUAUGCCCUUCAUCACAGAGUUACGGAGCAGAUGGCCUGCUCUGUUUUCAGAAAGAGAGGUUGAUGCAGAAUUUGCCAGAAUCACCACUGUCCCACUACGGUCUACUUUCAUGUUUCAACUUGAUCGGCAUACUGACAACUUACUGAAGGUCUUCCGUAAGAAGGGAGGGGCAGCAGGACAGAAAAUUAAGGUCAUUUUGGCAGCAAUGGACAAGGAUCCAAGUAUUGAAAAACGGAGAGAUUGUGUGCUCAAAGCAGUGUCUGUGUACCUAAAUGAAGAUCCACAACAUCUCAUUAAGGAAUACAUGGAUCUUGAUCCUGGUGCAAAGAAAGAUAUGGAGGAAACAAUGAUGGGAGUCUACGUCAUUUGGCAUGAGGGAGCAGCGGACACUGAUGAAGCUGAGGAUGUCGGUAUCAUUAUAGAGGGAGUUGAAGUGCUUCAGGGUCUCAGGUAUUUUGCUAAUGGGUGUGCACUACUGCUUGGCCUGAUCUACAGCUUAAAUCUAAGCUAUCCCAAAGACUUAAGAUACACUUUUGAGUUUGUCCAAAAAGUAUUGCUGGAUUUGGAUGGAAACAGAAUGUCUGCAAAGGUGCAGGUCUUGAAAAACCGACUGCACGAGUAGCUUCACUGCACAAGGCAAUAUCUGUGAUGUUCACUGCUUUUUGUUUUACAUGGUGUUAUUAUGUAUACUGUAUCAGCAAUGUUAAAUGUCAGCUGUUAAAGUCUGUUCAGGCUUGCCUUGUUUUUUGCCAUAUGGUGUGCUAAAGUUCUGUCCUUGGAGGUAUCUGCUUGCUUUUGGUAUUUAUUUUUUUACAAAACCAAAAGGCGUUGAAUUUAAUGUCAUAAUGACCAAGCACCAAGUUUCAAUUUUUACUUGAAUACACUAUGAUUAUUAUCGUUGGUUUUGCUUUGUAUUGAAUAGUGUAUCUUUUAAAGGGCCACUGAUGUUUACUGUUUUAUUACAGUUAGAAAAACAUUUGUUGUGAUUCACUUUAAAUUCAAUACCUAAUGGAUAUUUUUGGUUUCACACUGUUUACAUGUGCAGCCUAAUUGAGCCAAAGGCAUAGCUUGACUAAGACAGAUAACUGGACAUAUUGCAGAGUCCAAGUCUACAUGCAGAGGAGAACAUGUUAUCAUUGGCUGUGUUUAGCUUAUCGUUCAAAGUGUUUCUUUACUGUAGCUUUCACUUUUGCCAGAGCCAUUGUAUUGUUGUUGUUUUUUCAGCAACAGUACUGUAGUUCAUACGUUGUCUCCUACUACCUGAAAAGACCGGGAGGAGUAUUUUUUGGUUUGUGGACGAAAAUAGAUUUUAGUUUGGGCUUUGAGAAAUGUGUAAUUUUCUGUUUAAUGGUACAACUCAAUUUUGUUUUAUGGGUAUCUGGGAUGUAACCAGACUGCACUUUUGAUUUAAGCCCAUGUUUAUUUGUGGUCAGUCUUGUCUGAAAAUUAAAAUAAAGGCAGGUGAAAGGA
Solea solea (common sole) is the source of this 5663-nucleotide RNA transcript. It is a transcript of the gene named sterile alpha motif domain-containing protein 3-like, with no coding region annotated. The record is from RefSeq and is a predicted model, not a curated record. The transcript has 6 exons. NCBI's taxonomy places the organism in Eukaryota, Metazoa, Chordata, Actinopteri, Pleuronectiformes, Soleidae.